Molecule: non-coding RNA, 189 nt
Filed under: Armatimonadota bacterium
Lineage: Bacteria; Bacillati; Armatimonadota
Description: Armatimonadetes bacterium (hot springs metagenome) 6S RNA
Rfam family: 6S / SsrS RNA
About the family: E. coli 6S RNA was the first non coding RNA to be sequenced, but its function was unknown until recently. It consists of 184 nucleotides that fold into an extended hairpin structure with a large single-stranded internal bulge. The 6S RNA specifically associates with RNA polymerase holoenzyme containing the sigma70 specificity factor.
Source: RNAcentral
AUUGCCCUGCAGUGUUCGUGAUUGGUCGAGGAAGUUUUGAGCCGACACUCAUAAGCUUCGGGAGUCACGAUGGUCAGCAGCCUAGUGGGAGCCUCUUUUAAGAGGAAUCGCGAAGCGCUGCCUCUGCUCCCACCCUGGUAGUAACUGGGGUUCAAAAACUCGGUAGGCACACGGCACAGCGGGGCAAUG